This 516-nucleotide ribosomal RNA is filed under the name Priestia aryabhattai. Its description in RNAcentral is "bacterial SSU rRNA". It matches the Rfam family "Bacterial small subunit ribosomal RNA", at positions 40 to 538 of the family's 1533-position model. The record is from RNAcentral. Lineage: Bacteria; Bacillati; Bacillota; Bacilli; Caryophanales; Bacillaceae.
UGGCCGGCUAAUAAUGCAAGUCGAGCGACUGAUUAGAAGCUUGCUUCUAUGACGUUAGCGGCGGACGGGCUGAGUAACACGUGGGCAACCUGCCUGUAAGACUGGGAUAACUUCGGGAAACCGAAGCUAAUACCGGAUAGGAUCUUCUCCUUCAUGGGAGAUGAUUGAAAGAUGGUUUCGGCUAUCACUUACAGAUGGGCCCGCGGUGCAUUAGCUAGUUGGUGAGGUAACGGCUCACCAAGGCAACGAUGCAUAGCCGACCUGAGAGGGUGAUCGGCCACACUGGGACUGAGACACGGCCCAGACUCCUACGGGAGGCAGCAGUAGGGAAUCUUCCGCAAUGGACGAAAGUCUGACGGAGCAACGCCGCGUGAGUGAUGAAGGCUUUCGGGUCGUAAAACUCUGUUGUUAGGGAAGAACAAGUACGAUAGUAACUGCUCGUACCUUGACGGUACCUAACCAGAAAAGCCACGGCUAACUACGUGCCAGCAGCCGCGGUAAUACGUAGGUGGCAAG